RNAcentral lists this ribosomal RNA (459 nucleotides) under uncultured bacterium. Its description in RNAcentral is "partial 16S ribosomal RNA". It matches the Rfam family "Bacterial small subunit ribosomal RNA", at positions 338 to 795 of the family's 1533-position model. The record is from RNAcentral.
CCUACGGGAGGCAGCAGUGAGGAAUAUUGGUCAAUGGGCGGGAGCCUGAACCAGCCAAGCCGCGUGAGGGAAGAAGGUACAGCGUAUCGUAAACCUCUUUUGUCAGGGAACAAAGGCGGGGACUAGUCCCCGGAUGAGGGUACCUGAAGAAAAAGCAUCGGCUAACUCCGUGCCAGCAGCCGCGGUAAUACGGAGGAUGCGGGCGUUAUCCGGAUUUAUUGGGUUUAAAGGGUGCGCAGGCGGCCUGUUAAGUCAGCGGUAAAAGCCCGGGGCUAAACCCCGGCGAGCCGUUGAAACUGGCGGGCUUGAGUUGGAGAGAAGUACGCGGAAUGCGCGGUGUAGCGGUGAAAUGCUUAGAUAUCGCGCAGAACCCCGAUUGCGAAGGCAGCGUACCGGCUCCACACUGACGCUGAGGCACGAAAGCGUGGGUAUCGAACAGGAUUAGAUACCCGAGUAGUC